CAAUAGCGUAUAUUUAAGUUGUUGCAGUUAAAAAGCUCGUAGUUGGAUUUCGGGGGGGACGCAGCGGUCUCGCAUUGCGUUUGUACUGCUGCAGCCCUCCUUCUUGCCGGGGGCGGCCUCUCGGACUUCACUGUCUGGGGGUCAGAAUCGGCGAUGUUACUUUGAGUAAAUUAGAGUGUUCAAAGCAAGCUUACGCUCUGAAUAUAAUAGCAUGGGAUAACACGACAGGACUCUGGCCUAUCGUGUUGGUCUAUAGGACCAGAGUAAUGAUUAAGAGGGACAGUCGGGGGCAUUCGUAUUCCGUUGUCAGAGGUGAAAUUCUUGGAUUUACGGAAGACGAACAUCUGCGAAAGCAUUUGCCAAGGAUGUUUUCAUUGA
This 378-nucleotide ribosomal RNA is filed under the name uncultured eukaryote. Its description in RNAcentral is "partial 18S ribosomal RNA". It matches the Rfam family "Eukaryotic small subunit ribosomal RNA", at positions 592 to 976 of the family's 1831-position model. The record is from RNAcentral.